RNAcentral lists this ribosomal RNA (262 nucleotides) under uncultured bacterium. RNAcentral describes it as "partial small subunit ribosomal RNA". It matches the Rfam family "Bacterial small subunit ribosomal RNA", at positions 26 to 285 of the family's 1533-position model. The record is from RNAcentral.
AGAAUCAACGCUGGCGGCGUGCCUAACACAUGCAAGUCGAACGAGAAAGUGGAGCAAUCCAUGAGUAAAGUGGCGACCGGGUGAGUAACACGUGACUAACCUACCUUCGAGUGGGGGAUAACCUCGGGAAACCGGGGCUAAUACCGCAUAACAUCUUCGGAGUGGAAAUUCUGGAGAUCAAAGGAGCAAUUCGCUGGGAAGAGGGGGUCGCGGCUGAUUAGCUAGUUGGCGGGGUAACGGCCCACCAAGGCUUAGAUCGGUA